GACCCAUGGUGAGGGUACCUUCUUAAUAAAGCCUUGUAUCUCUCCCAUGCAUCAUAUAACAUCUCUAAAUAGAUCUACAUGAAGGAAGAGAUAUCAUUCCUCAACUU
This is a non-coding RNA of Gossypium hirsutum (cotton), 107 nucleotides long. The record is from Rfam. Lineage: Eukaryota; Viridiplantae; Streptophyta; Magnoliopsida; Malvales; Malvaceae.